This 276-nucleotide ribosomal RNA is filed under the name uncultured bacterium. RNAcentral's name for it is "partial 16S ribosomal RNA". It matches the Rfam family "Bacterial small subunit ribosomal RNA", at positions 28 to 303 of the family's 1533-position model. The record is from RNAcentral.
GACGAACGCUGGCGGCGUGCCUAACACAUGCAAGUCGAACGGGACCAGGGGCAACUCUGGUUCAGUGGCGGACGGGUGCGUAACACGUGAGGAACAUGACCUUCGGCGGGGGAGUAGCCGGCCCAACGGCCGGGUAAGUACCGCGUACGACCAUUCGGGGACGAUCCCUGGAUGGUGAAAGCAGCAAUGCGCCGAUGGAGUGCCUCGCGGCCUAUCAGCUAGUUGGUGAGGUAACGGCCACCAAGGCGACGACGGGUAGCUGGUCUGAGAGGAUGG